This 799-nucleotide ribosomal RNA is filed under the name uncultured bacterium. Its description in RNAcentral is "bacterial SSU rRNA". It matches the Rfam family "Bacterial small subunit ribosomal RNA", at positions 36 to 806 of the family's 1533-position model. The record is from RNAcentral.
CUGGCGGCGUGGAUUANGCAUGCAAGUCGAGCGGUAGUCCCGAAAGUAGAAUUUCUUUGAAGUUUUACAAUCGGGACGAGAGCGGCGAAAGGGUGAGUAACGCGUGAGUAAUUUACCCUUUAGUUCGGAAUAACCAGCCGAAAGGCAGGCUAAUACCGGAUAAGACCACGUUGGGGCAUCCUAAUGUGGUAAAAGACAGCUUAGUCUUUUUAAGACGCUGUCACUAGAGGAUAAGCUCGCGUCUUAUCAGCUUGUUGGUAGGGUAAAGGCCUACCAAGGCAAAGACGGGUAGGGGGCGUGAGAGCGUGGCCCCCCACACUGGUACUGACACACGGACCAGAUACCUACGGGUAGCAGCCAGCAAGGAAUAUUGCGCAAUGGGGGAAACCCUGACGCAGCAACGCCGCGUGGAGGAUGAAGGCCUUCGGGUUGUAAACUCCUUUUCUGGGGGAAGAGAAAGGACGGUACCCCAGGAAUAAGGCCCGGCUAACUACGUGCCAGCAGCCGCGGUAAAACGUAGGGGCCAAGCGUUAUCCGGAAUUACUGGGCGUAAAGGGCGUGUAGGCGGUCAUGUAAGUUGGACGUGAAAGCUCCUGGCUCAACUGGGAGAGGUCGUUCAAAACUGCAUGACUAGAGGAUGGUUAGAGGCGAGUGGAAUUCCCGGUGUAGUGGUGAAAUGCGUAGAUAUCGGGAGGAACACCCAGUGGCGAAGGCGGCUCGCUGGGCCACACCUGACGCUGAGGCGCGAAAGCCAGGGGAGAGAACGGGNAUUAGAAACCCCGGUAUUCCUGGCCGUAAA